GGUUAAGCGACUAAGCGUACACGGUGGAUGCCCUGGCAGUCAGAGGCGAUGAAGGACGUGCUAAUCUGCGAAAAGCGUCGGUAAGGUGAUAUGAACCGUUAUAGCCGGCGAUGUCCGAAUGGGGAAACCCAGUGCAAUUCGUUGCACUAUCGUUAACUGAAUACAUAGGUUAACGAGGCGAACCGGGGGAACUGAAACAUCUAAGUACCCCGAGGAAAAGAAAUCAACCGAGAUUCCCCCAGUAGCGGCGAGCGAACGGGGAGCAGCCCAGAGUCUGAAUCAGCUUGUGUGUUAGUGGAACGGUCUGGAAAGUCCGACGGUACAGGGUGAUAGUCCCGUACACCAAAAUGCACAGGUUGUGAACUCGAAGAGUAGGGCGGGACACGUGGUAUCCUGUCUGAAUAUGGGGGGACCAUCCUCCAAGGCUAAAUACUCCUGACUGACCGAUAGUGAACCAGUACCGUGAGGGAAAGGCGAAAAGAACCCCGGCGAGGGGAGUGAAAAAGAACCUGAAACCGUGUACGUACAAGCAGUGGGAGCACCUUCGGGUGUGACUGCGUACCUUUUGUAUAAUGGGUCAGCGACUUAUAUUCUGUAGCAAGGUUAACCGUAUAGGGGAGCCGCAGGGAAACCGAGUCUUAACUGGGCGUUAAGUUGCAGGGUAUAGACCCGAAACCCGGUGAUCUAGCCAUGGGCAGGUUGAAGGUUGGGUAACACUAACUGGAGGACCGAACCGACUAAUGUUGAAAAAUUAGCGGAUGACUUGUGGCUGGGGGUGAAAGGCCAAUCAAACCGGGAGAUAGCUGGUUCUCCCCGAAAGCUAUUUAGGUAGCGCCUCGUGAAUUCAUCUUCGGGGGUAGAGCACUGUUUCGGCUAGGGGGUCAUCCCGACUUACCAACCCGAUGCAAACUACGAAUACCGAAGAAUGUUAUCACGGGAGACACACGGCGGGUGCUAACGUCCGUCGUGAAGAGGGAAACAACCCAGACCGCCAGCUAAGGUCCCAAAGUCAUGGUUAAGUGGGAAACGAUGUGGGAAGGCACAGACAGCCAGGAUGUUGGCUUAGAAGCAGCCAUCAUUUAAAGAAAGCGUAAUAGCUCACUGGUCGAGUCGGCCUGCGCGGAAGAUGUAACGGGGCUAAACCAUGCACCGAAGCUGCGGCAGCGACACUAUGUGUUGUUGGGUAGGGGAGCGUUCUGUAAGCCUGCGAAGGUGACCUGUGAGGGUUGCUGGAGGUAUCAGAAGUGCGAAUGCUGACAUAAGUAACGAUAAAGCGGGUGAAAAGCCCGCUCGCCGGAAGACCAAGGGUUCCUGUCCAACGUUAAUCGGGGCAGGGUGAGUCGACCCCUAAGGCGAGGCCGAAAGGCGUAGUCGAUGGGAAACAGGUUAAUAUUCCUGUACUUGGUGUUACUGCGAAGGGGGGACGGAGAAGGCUAUGUUAGCCGGGCGACGGUUGUCCCGGUUUAAGCAUGUAGGCUGGUUGUCCAGGCAAAUCCGGAUAAUCAAGGCUGAGGUGUGAUGACGAGGCACUACGGUGCUGAAGUAACAAAUGCCCUGCUUCCAGGAAAAGCCUCUAAGCAUCAGGUAACAUCAAAUCGUACCCCAAACCGACACAGGUGGUCAGGUAGAGAAUACCAAGGCGCUUGAGAGAACUCGGGUGAAGGAACUAGGCAAAAUGGUGCCGUAACUUCGGGAGAAGGCACGCUGGUGUGUAGGUGAAGUCCCUGCGGAUGGAGCUGAGACCAGUCGAAGAUACCAGCUGGCUGCAACUGUUUAUUAAAAACACAGCACUGUGCAAACACGAAAGUGGACGUAUACGGUGUGACGCCUGCCCGGUGCCGGAAGGUUAAUUGAUGGGGUUAUCCGUAAGGAGAAGCUCUUGAUCGAAGCCCCGGUAAACGGCGGCCGUAACUAUAACGGUCCUAAGGUAGCGAAAUUCCUUGUCGGGUAAGUUCCGACCUGCACGAAUGGCGUAAUGAUGGCCAGGCUGUCUCCACCCGAGACUCAGUGAAAUUGAACUCGCUGUGAAGAUGCAGUGUACCCGCGGCAAGACGGAAAGACCCCGUGAACCUUUACUAUAGCUUGACACUGAACAUUGAGCCUUGAUGUGUAGGAUAGGUGGGAGGCUUUGAAGCGUGGACGCCAGUCUGCGUGGAGCCAACCUUGAAAUACCACCCUUUAAUGUUUGAUGUUCUAACGUUGGCCCCUUACCGGGGUUGCGGACAGUGUCUGGUGGGUAGUUUGACUGGGGCGGUCUCCUCCCAAAGCGUAACGGAGGAGCACGAAGGUUAGCUAAUCCUGGUCGGACAUCAGGAGGUUAGUGCAAUGGCAUAAGCUAGCUUGACUGCGAGCGUGACGGCGCGAGCAGGUGCGAAAGCAGGUCAUAGUGAUCCGGUGGUUCUGAAUGGAAGGGCCAUCGCUCAACGGAUAAAAGGUACUCCGGGGAUAACAGGCUGAUACCGCCCAAGAGUUCAUAUCGACGGCGGUGUUUGGCACCUCGAUGUCGGCUCAUCACAUCCUGGGGCUGAAGUAGGUCCCAAGGGUAUGGCUGUUCGCCAUUUAAAGUGGUACGCGAGCUGGGUUUAGAACGUCGUGAGACAGUUCGGUCCCUAUCUGCCGUGGGCGCUGGAGAAUUGAGGGGGGCUGCUCCUAGUACGAGAGGACCGGAGUGGACGCAUCACUGGUGUUCGGGUUGUCAUGCCAAUGGCACUGCCCGGUAGCUAAAUGCGGAAGAGAUAAGUGCUGAAAGCAUCUAAGCACGAAACUUGCCCCGAGAUGAGUUCUCCCUGAGACUUUAAGUCUCCUGAAGGAACGUUGAAGACGACGACGUUGAUAGGCCGGGUGUGUAAGCGCAGCGAUGCGUUGAGCUAACCGGUACUAAUGAACCGUGAGGCUUAACCUU
This 2902-nucleotide ribosomal RNA is filed under the name Klebsiella pneumoniae. RNAcentral's name for it is "23S ribosomal RNA". It matches the Rfam family "Bacterial large subunit ribosomal RNA". Lineage: Bacteria; Pseudomonadati; Pseudomonadota; Gammaproteobacteria; Enterobacterales; Enterobacteriaceae. The record is from RNAcentral.